Molecule: ribosomal RNA, 406 nt
Filed under: uncultured bacterium
Lineage: Bacteria
Description: bacterial SSU rRNA
Rfam family: Bacterial small subunit ribosomal RNA
Source: RNAcentral
UGGGGAAUAUUGCACAAUGGGCGCAAGCCUGAUGCAGCAACGCCGCGUGAGGGACGACGGCCUUCGGGUUGUAAACCUCUUUUAGUAGGGAAGAAGCGAAAGUGACGGUACCUGCAGAAAAAGCACCGGCUAACUACGUGCCAGCAGCCGCGGUAAUACGUAGGGUGCAAGCGUUAUCCGGAAUUAUUGGGCGUAAAGAGCUCGUAGGCGGUUUGUCGCGUCUGCUGUGAAAACUGGAGGCUCAACCUCCAGCCUGCAGUGGGUACGGGCAAACUAGAGUGCGGUAGGGGAGAUUGGAAUUCCUGGUGUAGCGGUGGAAUGCGCAGAUAUCAGGAGGAACACCGAUGGCGAAGGCAGAUCUCUGGGCCGUAACUGACGCUGAGGAGCGAAAGCAUGGGGAGCGAAC